GAUGAACGCUGGCGGCGUGCCUAAUACAUGCAAGUAGAACGCUGAAGGAGGAGCUUGCUCUUCUGGAUGAGUUGCGAACGGGUGAGUAACGCGUAGGUAACCUGCCUGGUAGCGGGGGAUAACUAUUGGAAACGAUAGCUAAUACCGCAUGACAACAGUUAUUGCAUGAUAACUGUUUAAAAGGGGCAACUGCUCCACUACCAGAUGGACCUGCGUUGUAUUAGCUAGUUGGUGAGGUAACGGCUCACCAAGGCGACGAUACAUAGCCGACCUGUGAGGGGGAUCGGCCACACUGGGACUGAGACACGGCCCAGACUCCUACGGGAGGCAGCAGUAGGGAAUCUUCGGCAAUGGACGGAAGUCUGACCGAGCAACGCCGCGUGAGUGAAGAAGGUUUUCGGAUCGUAAAGCUCUGUUGUAAGAGAAGAACGAGUGUGAGAGUGGAAAGUUCACACUGUGACGGUAUCUUACCAGAAAGGGACGGCUAACUACGUG
Molecule: ribosomal RNA, 495 nt
Filed under: uncultured bacterium
Lineage: Bacteria
Description: partial 16S ribosomal RNA
Rfam family: Bacterial small subunit ribosomal RNA
Source: RNAcentral